CUGGCGGCUCGUCGGCGGUGGCCGCCACGUUCGCCUCGGAGGCGAACCUACCGCCGCGACGACGGAUCGGCACCGCUUCGCGGGCC
This 86-nucleotide transfer RNA is filed under the name Micromonospora andamanensis. RNAcentral's name for it is "tRNA-Pro". The record is from RNAcentral. Lineage: Bacteria; Bacillati; Actinomycetota; Actinomycetes; Micromonosporales; Micromonosporaceae.